Molecule: long non-coding RNA, 1160 nt
Organism: Cercocebus atys (sooty mangabey)
Lineage: Eukaryota; Metazoa; Chordata; Mammalia; Primates; Cercopithecidae
Exons: 6
Source: RefSeq, a predicted model, not a curated record
CUCCUGAGUUCAAACAAUCCUCCUACCUCAGUCUCCUAAAGUGUCGAGACUACAGGCGUGAGCCACCAUGCCCGGACCAGGGUGAUCUUGAUUGUCACCGGAACCCAAAGGUGGAAUAAUAACAUGGACUUCCCAGUGUCUUGACAGUCUUCGCUAAUUUGAAUGGAACGCAGUCACUGGAUGAAGAUUUAUUUAGAACCAGGGGAGAGAGUGAAUUGCAGUCCCUAACUACCACAAAUAAUGCAGUUGCGUUUCCCACAUUUGGAGAAAUGGCCGGGGUCAGCCCAUCCGGAGUGCAGGGCGUGAGCCUCGCCCUGGGAAACCACCUUCGUGAUCGUGGUACCUCCCCUGUGGGUGAGGAUGUCAAGACUUGGAGUAGGUGACAGUUGGCCUUGGGCUUCGGUGGCCAGCCCAUGACUACAAAAGCCCAAGAAGCCAGUGAGUCCCCUGGCUCCCUCCACCAAGUGGCCUCUGGGUGAUGGGGAAGCUUGUCCUCUGCUUUGUCACACACAAAACUCUAAAAGUCAGGAUCCCAACGCAUCGGCCUGGAGAGACCGUGCAGAGCCGCAGCCCCACGUGACAGGUCUGCUAUCGCUCCAUCUUACAGAUGAAGAAACUGAGGCUCAGGGAAGAGAGAUAGCUGCUCACCGUCACACACUGUAAAUUCUUUGACACAGAAAUUUGGCCAGGGUGCUGAUUAGGACACUGAAGGACAAGGAAGAAUUUAUCCAUGGAGCGGGUAGAGUGAGCGCAAAUUCCAGAAAAAGGGAACCUCAUUGUCUGCGAAAGCCUGAUGGCAGGACAGUCCGUGACCGAUCCCAGCCCAGUUUCUCUGCAGACUCCUGCGCUUGUCAAUUAUACAGUGCCUUGGGUUAUUCCCAUGACCAGUAAGUUUGGGAAAUACUGGCUGCUGCAGGAAGCAUCGGUAACUGCUCUGGGAAAGCUGGACGGAGCUGAAAGGAAACGGUCUCGGAUCGCAUAUGGAAUUUAAACUUAAUACCCAAGCCUGUUGCUUCUUUUCUUUCUUUCUAGGGGAGAUGUCACAAAUUCUGCGCCAGAAUCUCACAAAUCACAAAUAACUUAUAUAACCAAACACCACCUGUUCCCCAAUAACCUAUGGAAAUAAAAAAAAUUAAACAAUAAAAAAUCAAAAAAUGAAA